This 337-nucleotide ribosomal RNA is filed under the name Deltaproteobacteria bacterium. Its description in RNAcentral is "bacterial SSU rRNA". It matches the Rfam family "Bacterial small subunit ribosomal RNA", at positions 1 to 330 of the family's 1533-position model. The record is from RNAcentral. Lineage: Bacteria; Pseudomonadati; Myxococcota; Myxococcia.
AAACUGGAGAGUUUGAUCCUGGCUCAGAACGAACGCUGGCGGCGUGCUUAACACAUGCAAGUCGAACGAGAACGGAACCUUCGGGUUCUUAGUAAAGUGGCGCACGGGUGAGUAACACGUGGGUAACCUACCCAUCGGUGGGGGAUAACAGUUCGAAAGGACUGCUAAUACCGCAUACGUCCAUCGGCUCUUCGGAGCUGAUGGGGAAAGAGGCUUCGGCCUCGCCGACGGAUGGGCUCGCGGACCAUUAGCUAGUUGGUGGGGUAAUGGCCUACCAAGGCUUCGAUGGUUAGCUGGUCUGAGAGGAUGAUCAGCCACACUGGAACUGAGACACGGU